UGUGGCCUCACAAAAGACCAUGUGAGUACACGUGAGCCACGUGAGGAGAGAGAGAACAGGGUAAGAACUGCUCCAGUGCAAGCCUCUCCUUGCUUCCCUCUCUACUCUACACCAUCCCACCUUGAGCUGAACCAGUGGUUUUCCCACAACAAAGCUGACUGUGAAGACUGGGGAGAAUAAAGGGAAGAAGGGGAAAGACAAGCCCAGUUCCAGGGAGCAGGUGGAGCCUGGUGACGUGACCUGUCGAUUUAUCUUCUAACACAAUGGAAGACCACCUGUAUAUCUAUUCCUGACUAAAACUGACCCGCUAAAAGAAAGCCGCAGGAGAGAGGAUCCUGUCUGUGCCAUGGCACGUAGCAUUGACGUGGCUGUCCCGGCCCAGCCUGCCAGCUCAGAAGGAGAAGGGAGUUUGUGGUGAAGAUGGGCAUCUGCUGACUCUCUGCACGAGUGCUGGAGCCUGGCCCUGGGGGAUCUGCCAAUGUCUUCCUCCGUAGUUGCUCUUCUGAGAAUGAAAC
Molecule: long non-coding RNA, 515 nt
Organism: Passer domesticus (house sparrow)
Lineage: Eukaryota; Metazoa; Chordata; Aves; Passeriformes; Passeridae
Exons: 3
Source: RefSeq, a predicted model, not a curated record